UGAAGCGAAAGCGGAACGACCUUCGGGAGCCGUGACAGGUGCUGCAUGGCUGUCGUCAGCUCGUGUCGUGAGAUGUUCGGUUAAGUCCGCAAACGAGCGCAACCCCUGCUGCCAGUUACAGGUGUCUGGCGGGACUGCCCGUGAGAAACGGGAGGAAGGUGGGGAUGACGUCAAGUCAGCAUGGCCUUUAUAUCCAGGGCUACACACACGCUACAAUGGGUGGCACAAUGGGUCGCGAAGCCGCGAGGUGGAGCCAAUCCCGAAAGCCAUUCGUAGUUCGGAUUGCAGGCUGCAACCCGCCUGCAUGAAGUCGGAGUUGCUAGUAACCGCGCGUCAGCCAUAGUGCGGUGAAUACGUUCCCGGGCCUUGUACACACCGCCCGUCAAGCCAUGGAAGCUGGGGGCACCCGAAGUCCGUGACCCGACCCGUGAGGGAGGGAGCGGCCGAAGGUGAACUCAGUGACUGGGGCUAAGUCGUAACAAGGUAGCCGUACCGGAAGG
Molecule: ribosomal RNA, 500 nt
Filed under: uncultured bacterium
Lineage: Bacteria
Description: bacterial SSU rRNA
Rfam family: Bacterial small subunit ribosomal RNA
Source: RNAcentral